UACGUAGGUCCCGAGCGUUGUCCGGAUUUAUUGGGCGUAAAGCGAGCGCAGGCGGUUAGAUAAGUCUGAAGUUAAAGGCUGUGGCUUAACCAUAGUACGCUUUGGAAACUGUUUAACUUGAGUGCAAGAGGGGAGAGUGGAAUUCCAUGUGUAGCGGUGAAAUGCGUAGAUAUAUGGAGGAACACCAGUGGCGAAAGCGGCUCUCUGGCUUGUAACUGACGCUGAGGCUCGAAAGCGUGGGGAGCAAACAGG
RNAcentral lists this ribosomal RNA (252 nucleotides) under uncultured bacterium. RNAcentral's name for it is "partial 16S ribosomal RNA". It matches the Rfam family "Bacterial small subunit ribosomal RNA", at positions 524 to 776 of the family's 1533-position model. The record is from RNAcentral.